Molecule: ribosomal RNA, 254 nt
Filed under: uncultured bacterium
Lineage: Bacteria
Description: partial 16S ribosomal RNA
Rfam family: Bacterial small subunit ribosomal RNA
Source: RNAcentral
AACGAACGCUGGCGGCGUGGAUAAGACAUGCAAGUCGAACGGAACUACUUUUAGUAGCAAUACCGAGAGUAGUUUAGUGGCGAACGGGUGCGUAACACGUGGGCAAUCUGCCGAGAAGUGGGGGAGUAGCUCGCCGAAAGGACGAAUUAAUACCGCAUGUGAUGAGAGGCGACAUCGUCUUGAAAUCAAAGCCGGGGCAACCUGGCGCUUUUUGAGGAGCCCGCGGCCUANCAGCUUGUUGGUGAGGUAACGGC